UACAGAGGUCUCAAGCGUUGUUCGGAAUCAUUGGGCGUAAAGGGCGCGUAGGCGGCUCCGUAAGUCAGGGGUGAAAUCCUGGGGCUCAACCCCGGAACUGCACUUGAUACUGCGGUGCUUGAGUACUGGAGAGGAGAUUGGAAUUUACGGUGUAGCAGUGAAAUGCGUAGAUAUCGUAAGGAAGACCAGUGGCGAAGGCGAAUCUCUGGACAGUUACUGACACUGAGGCACGAAGGCCAGGGGAGCAAACGGG
This 253-nucleotide ribosomal RNA is filed under the name uncultured bacterium. Its description in RNAcentral is "partial 16S ribosomal RNA". It matches the Rfam family "Bacterial small subunit ribosomal RNA", at positions 524 to 776 of the family's 1533-position model. The record is from RNAcentral.